AGUGAACGCUGGCGGUAGGCCUAACACAUGCAAGUCGAACGGCAGCACAGUAAGAGCUUGCUCUUACGGGUGGCGAGUGGCGGACGGGUGAGGAAUACAUCGGAAUCUACUUUUUCGUGGGGGAUAACGUAGGGAAACUUACGCUAAUACCGCAUACGACCUACGGGUGAAAGCAGGGGAUCUUCGGACCUUGCGCGAUUGAAUGAGCCGAUGUCGGAUUAGCUAGUUGGCGGGGUAAAGGCCCACCAAGGCGACGAUCCGUAGCUGGUCUGAGAGGAUGGAUCGGCCACCUGGAACCUAGAACCGGGCCAGGGCCCCUAGGGGAGGCGGAAGGGGGAAAUGUUGGACAGGGGGGGAAAGCCUGACCCAGCAAUCCGCGGGGGGGAAAGAAGGCCUGCGGUUUGUAAAGCCUUUUUUUUGGGAAAAAAAAGAGGGAGGUUAACACCCCGCUUUUUGGAGGGAACCAAAAAAAAAGGCACCGCUAAAUUUGUG
Molecule: ribosomal RNA, 492 nt
Filed under: uncultured bacterium
Lineage: Bacteria
Description: partial 16S ribosomal RNA
Rfam family: Bacterial small subunit ribosomal RNA
Source: RNAcentral